This 75-nucleotide transfer RNA is filed under the name Penicillium salamii. RNAcentral describes it as "tRNA-Cys". It matches the Rfam family "tRNA". Rfam says of the family: Transfer RNA (tRNA) molecules are approximately 80 nucleotides in length. Their secondary structure includes four short double-helical elements and three loops (D, anti-codon, and T loops). Lineage: Eukaryota; Fungi; Ascomycota; Eurotiomycetes; Eurotiales; Aspergillaceae. The record is from RNAcentral.
GAGCAGCGGUGGCGCAGUGGUAACGCGUGAGAUUGCAAAUCUCAAGAUCCCGUGUUCGAACCACGGUCGCUGCUU